CCUACGGGUGGCAGCAGUGAGGAAUAUUGGUCAAUGGCCGUAAGGCUGAACCAGCCAAGUAGCGUGAGGGAAGACUGUCCUAUGGGUUGUAAACCUCUUUUAUGCGGGGAUAAAGGUGUCCACGUGUGGAUGUUUGCAGGUACCGCAUGAAUAAGGACCGGCUAAUUCCGUGCCAGCAGCCGCGGUAAUACGGAAGGUGCGGGCGUUAUCCGGAUUUAUUGGGUUUAAAGGGAGCGUAGGCCGGUCUUUAAGCGCGCCGUGAAAUUUUGUGGCUCAACCCUGGGGGAGCGGUGGGAACGGGAUGCCUUGAGAUGUCGGAAGGCAGGCGGAAUGCGGGGUGUAGCGGUGAAAUGCUUAGAUAUCGCGAAGAACCCCGAUUGCGAAGGCAGCAUGCCGCAGGGGUACUGACGCUGAGGCACGAAAGCGUGGGUAUCGAACAGGAUUAGAUACCCUUGUAGUC
This 460-nucleotide ribosomal RNA is filed under the name uncultured bacterium. RNAcentral's name for it is "partial 16S ribosomal RNA". It matches the Rfam family "Bacterial small subunit ribosomal RNA", at positions 338 to 795 of the family's 1533-position model. The record is from RNAcentral.